AAUCUGGACCGUCCAUCGCGAUGCAAUCUGGGCCGUCCGUGCGCGUGAAUCUGGACCAUCCGUGCUCACGUUUGAUCUGGGUCGUCCGUGUGUGCGGGAACGGAUCUGGGCCGUCCGAUCGCGCGCACGCGGAUCGCCCACAUGGCCCGUCCCCUGGUCAGCGUUUCCUUACCACGCGGCGCGUCCUGGUUGGCCGGGGCUGCUGACUGGGCCGCUGACGUGGCUGCUGACGUGGCACAACUUUUCUAAAUUGUGUUUUGACCCUCGGUUUCUGAUUUUAUUUUCAAAAACACCCCCAGAAUCUAAAUUUUCACCCCUUUUUCCCAAAAUCAAUUUCAAUUAAAUCCAAAUAAUAUUUUUACCAAAUUUUAUCAUUAU
Molecule: long non-coding RNA, 378 nt
Filed under: Carica papaya (papaya)
Lineage: Eukaryota; Viridiplantae; Streptophyta; Magnoliopsida; Brassicales; Caricaceae
Description: long non-coding RNA (CPAP_LNC009968)
Source: RNAcentral